This 66-nucleotide transfer RNA is filed under the name Sphenodon punctatus (tuatara). Its description in RNAcentral is "tRNA-Lys". Lineage: Eukaryota; Metazoa; Chordata; Lepidosauria; Sphenodontia; Sphenodontidae. The record is from RNAcentral.
AACCGAGAAGCUAAUGCAGCACCAGCCUUUUAGCGGAGACAGGAACACAUUCUCUCUUCGUUGCAA